AUCGCUUCUUGGCCUUUUGGCUAAGAUCAAGUACAGUAUCUAUUCUUAUCAGUGAGUAUCUGAUAUGUUUCUAUCUAAGCACAAUAUACUAAAUGGAUGUCUGCAGCAGGGAGAUGGGAUAAGGAGCUUGCUCUAUCCACCCCACGCAUCAACCGGGUAUUGUGAUAUUGCAGUACCUCCAGAAACGGUACACUCCUC
RNAcentral lists this small nuclear RNA (198 nucleotides) under Aotus nancymaae (Ma's night monkey). RNAcentral describes it as "U2 spliceosomal RNA (ENSANAG00000008947.1)". It matches the Rfam family "U2 spliceosomal RNA". From Rfam's summary of the family: U2 is a small nuclear RNA (snRNA) component of the spliceosome (involved in pre-mRNA splicing). Complementary binding between U2 snRNA (in an area lying towards the 5' end but 3' to hairpin I) and the branchpoint sequence (BPS) of the intron results the bulging out of an unpaired adenosine, on the BPS, which initiates a nucleophilic attack at the intronic 5' splice site, thus starting the first of two transesterification reactions that mediate splicing. The record is from Rfam by way of RNAcentral. Lineage: Eukaryota; Metazoa; Chordata; Mammalia; Primates; Aotidae.